AGCCAAGGGAGGAGCAUCAGAAAAAACAUUCCACUGGCGAGGAGGAAUGAUGAAAGCGCAGCAGCCACACUCAGUGCCAGGUCUGGGACAGACUGGAAAGAGAACGGCAAGGUGGAGCCUAAGCUGAGGGUUCCUUAAUCUGAGUGGAAGAAUCAGUUGGCAAAUUGAGGAGAAGUAUUGAAGCUCCAAUUGGCAGACCCUGGAGAUUUACAUGAUGCAAAUAUAAAGAAACUGAAAAUUGAAGGAAACAAGGCAAACAUUGUAAUGGAAUAACAAGGAGGCACCCUGCUGGAACCCGGUCCUGUGGACACCAGCAGCUCGCGCCCUGCCUGACCUCGCCGCACAUACGUACAGGAUCAUGCCGCACGGAUGCCGCGAGGCAUCUGAAUCCACACAGCAGAGGCGCCAGGGGGAACAUAAAAGCCAUGAAGAAGUGAAUGACAGAGAGGGCCUUUCUGACGCUCCUCAAGGAAAAUUGAAGCCCACUGGGAAAGUGAAGAAAACUCUUCAAUAAAGCACACCAGACCAUCGUGGUUGUAUGAAGGACUUCAUUGUUGGAUGGAAUGGAAUUUGUUUCACAUGAAAAGUCCAGAAACCUUCUCUCCUACUUCUCCAUCUUCAGAAUCUUCAGAGCUUCUCAAGGACACUUCUGGAUAAGAGAACAAAAUCUUUCUCUUGAAGGUCUGCAUCCUUUACCAAAGUGCAAAAUGAUCAAUUCAAGCAAUAUCUUCCACUACUCUUUCCUCUCUAAGAGGUUUCCUAUGCACUUCACUCACUGCUUCUUGAGCAGCACACUGCACUGUUUUUGCCAGAACCCUCUACAGGGAAUCCCAAAGAGGACGUCACUUUCUUCUGGAAGCCACUGGACCUUGAUUCUGUGCUCCAGCCCUUCAGGAGGCCUGGCAAGAUUCUGAAGUGUGGGAAUGUAGAAGCGAGUAGCUCAUGGAAGGAAAGUAUAAUAAGAUAAACACAUCCUUUUUUGUGAGACAAAAAAGUCCACAUCUGUUCAAAAGGAAAUUCAAAAUAUGAAAAUGUAGUGUUUGUCUUAAUCUGUCUUGUGCCUGCGCAUGUGCCUGCCACAUGGUGACUUCAGAUUAAAGGGAAAAUACCUGUUCC
Molecule: long non-coding RNA, 1116 nt
Organism: Heterocephalus glaber (naked mole-rat)
Lineage: Eukaryota; Metazoa; Chordata; Mammalia; Rodentia; Bathyergidae
Source: Ensembl